UUUUUCUACUGGGGACUGAACGCCUGGCCUUCCACAUGAUAAGCUCAGUCAGCCACCCCUCCAGACCAUGGCAACACGUUCCAGAGAGAGACUACUCACGCGACCCUCUCAUCUGGAUGUGUGUGGCACAUUGCCUGGCAAGGGCACCCUGAGCCAGAACAAGUCUUCCACCUAUUAUUUGGUUCUGAACCAUAAAUAUAGCAUUCUGGGAGCAGAGUCUAA
Long non-coding RNA from Mastomys coucha (southern multimammate mouse), 222 nucleotides. RefSeq lists it as uncharacterized. The record is from RefSeq and is a predicted model, not a curated record. The transcript has 2 exons. NCBI's taxonomy places the organism in Eukaryota, Metazoa, Chordata, Mammalia, Rodentia, Muridae.